This is a long non-coding RNA of Harmonia axyridis, 496 nucleotides long. RefSeq lists it as uncharacterized. NCBI's taxonomy places the organism in Eukaryota, Metazoa, Arthropoda, Insecta, Coleoptera, Coccinellidae. The transcript is spliced from 2 exons. The record is from RefSeq and is a predicted model, not a curated record.
AAUUGGAUGCAAAACCUCACUGAAAUAUUGAAAAAACUGUAAUUGAUAUUACAGUUUUUUCACAAUUUUCGGUGCAGGUUUUCAUUCAAAUUGUGAGUUGUUUCGAAUUAUGAAAUAAUAAGGCGCCAAAUGCGCAGAAUCAACAUCAUUAGUUCCAUUCCCUGCCCAUAAAGUCGCCACAAUCACGCUUAUUUAUUUUACCGCUGAGUUGUCACUCUUUCCCUCCUUUCUCUAUGAGGAGAAACCUUAUUCCUUGUAUUGUACUCCUACCAUAUAUGAACUCUUCAUAUAAGGGCGUGCUCCGAGGACAGCCCGUCAGAUUAUUAAAAAAAAAUCAAAUCUCAGAAAAACUCGAACGCGUCAGAUUAAGGCUAACGUGGCAUAAGGAAAUGGGUGAGUGGCAAAAUUGUAAAAAAAAACGUCACUGUGAAAUAAAAUUUUUUAUAUUCUUUAAUCUAUUAUUGUAUCAAUAAAUAAUGAUAACAUUACACCUACA